RNAcentral lists this ribosomal RNA (278 nucleotides) under uncultured bacterium. RNAcentral's name for it is "partial 16S ribosomal RNA". It matches the Rfam family "Bacterial small subunit ribosomal RNA", at positions 30 to 334 of the family's 1533-position model. The record is from RNAcentral.
AUUGAACGCUGGCGGCAUGGCUAAAACAUGCAAGUCGAACGAUCCCUUCGGGGAGAGUGGCGAAAGGGCGAGGAAUACGAUCGAAUGUACCCCGAGGUGGGGGAUAGCCUGGAGAAAUUCAGGGUAAUACCCCAUGUGCUCUACGGAGGAAAGGUUUACCGCCUUGGGAGCAGCGAUCGUCCUAUCAGGUAGUUGGUGAGGUAACGGCUCGCCAAGCCGAAGACGGGUAGCGGGUGUGAGAGCAUGACCCGCCGCAUCGGAACUGAGACACUGUCCGG